AACCUAGCACACCUGCGGUGUGUACCUGCGGAAGGAUCAUUAAAAAAAUCUUUUGCCCGCGGACCUUUUGUCGUCCAAGGCGCAAAAAGACCCACACCUGUGUGCACUGUUAUCGUUUCUUUGGCAGGGGCUUGGGUGGAAUUUUUUUUCCCUCAACUUCUCCUUCGGCUCUAUCCUUUCUCUCGGGGGGAGGACAGCUGGACAUGGGAAGCAGUUUACCCUGCCAAGUAAACCUCAAAC
RNAcentral lists this unclassified non-coding RNA (240 nucleotides) under soil metagenome. Its description in RNAcentral is "partial contains 5.8S ribosomal RNA, internal transcribed spacer 2, and large subunit ribosomal RNA". The record is from RNAcentral.